RNAcentral lists this ribosomal RNA (292 nucleotides) under uncultured bacterium. Its description in RNAcentral is "partial 16S ribosomal RNA". It matches the Rfam family "Bacterial small subunit ribosomal RNA", at positions 505 to 796 of the family's 1533-position model. The record is from RNAcentral.
GUGCCAGCAGCCGCGGUAAUACAGAGAGUGCAAACGUUGUUCGGAAUUACUGGGCAUAAAGCGCACGUAGGCGGCGCCACAAGUGCGAGUUGAAAUCCCACGGCUUACCCGUGGAACCGGCUUGUAUACUGUGGUGCUCGAGGAUGGUAGGGGAGAGCGGAACUCCUGGUGGAGCGGUGAAAUGCGUAGAGAUCAGGAGGAACACCGGUGGCGAAGGCGGCUCUCUGGUCCAUCACUGACGCUGAGGUGCGAAAGCUAGGGGAGCAAACGGGAUUAGAAACCCCUGUAGUCC